UACGUAGGGUGCGAGCGUUAAUCGGAAUUACUGGGCGUAAAGCGUGCGCAGGCGGUUUUGUAAGACAGGUGUGAAAUCCCCGGGCUUAACCUGGGAACUGCGCUUGUGACUGCAAGACUCGAGUACGGCAGAGGGGGGUGGAAUUCCUGGUGUAGAGGUGAAAUUCGUAGAUAUCGAGAGGAACACCUGCGGCGAAGGCGGGUUGCUGGGCUGACACUGACGCUGAGGCGCGAAAGCUAGGGGAGCGAACGGG
RNAcentral lists this ribosomal RNA (253 nucleotides) under uncultured prokaryote. Its description in RNAcentral is "partial 16S ribosomal RNA". It matches the Rfam family "Bacterial small subunit ribosomal RNA", at positions 524 to 776 of the family's 1533-position model. The record is from RNAcentral.